GAAUCUUUUAGGGGUACUGUCACACCUCUUUUUUCCUACACCCCCGUGAAGGGUGCAUAAAGGGAGUUUUUUCAAACUUGAAAUGACAAUAAAAACAUGAUUCAUUUUAAAAAUUCAGAGUCGCCACUUGGAAUAAUUAAUGUUUUCCAAGUCAUCGGUUUCAAAUCCCGAAUCAAGGAAAGAUUGAAUCUGUUAUACAGUCUGCGAACCAAAAAUCCUGGUAAGGAAUUCUGCUAACCCCGGAGAAGGUGUUAGGAGUUCUAGAGUUCCGUGGUUCUAGCACGGCCGCUUUGAUCAUACUUGGCUUGACUGAAUUGUCUAAUUACUAGUUUUAAAACCUAUGUGCAUUUACCUUUCACCGCUUUUUCAUUAAGAAAACUAUCUUGAAACGGGUCACACGCACGUGUACCCAAACCUAUAAUAAUAAUGCUUUAUUAUUAUUAAGAAAGUUUGCCUGAAGUUGCGCGAACGCACACUCCGGUUUUGUUUUUAGAGAUCGCAAUCAUGUCACGAGAACGUUCCCGCAAUCACAAUGAUAUAUUAAAUGGGCCUAGAGCUACUACGAAUAUUUGUCUUGUUACAUCUAAGUCAUAAAAAAUUAAUAGAAGGCCAUAAAUUAUAGAAGUCAAUCAUCCCGUACACCACUAAGCUAAAUAUUACAACAACUAAUCUUAUAAGCCAACGAUCGCCCAAGCCUACGGCCCAGCUCCAGCUACACUGUAUGACACUCGUGCUGGUUGCCCAGCGCCAAUAGAAGCCACCUUAACCAUGUAAUAUAUUUAGAAAGAAUAGCUUUGUCUGCUCCAGUCAGAACAAAUAAAUAUCAAUAAGUGUCCACACAUGAACAUAGACAUAUUAUCCAGUAAAUUUCUAGGCUAACUGAAAUAUACUUAACAUAAAAAAAUCAAUAUGCUAUUUUUAAACCCUUACUAGAUAUCAGUAAUUGUAUAAACAAAGAAAUAGUCACUGUUUGUAUAACUGGAUAUGAAGGCCCUUCGAACUGAAGUUGGCUGAGAAUAGGCUAAAACACGAAUGACACAACAAUACUUCUUCAUCUUCUCCAAUUGCACAUUAACAUCCUCCUUACUAUUAUCAGUUUCGUACUUCUUCUCAUUAAUCAAACAAUAUCCGUAACAUGAAUGACUAACUUCAAUCAAUUUGCAUUUACUAUACUAGUGGCAUGCUUGAAAGACAUUUCCAGGAGAGAUCAAUCCCCAUUACCUAAUAGUGACUAGGAGAGCAUAACAAAGCUAACAUGUGCAUUAUAAAGAGACAUGGAACAGAAAAGGCAAACAGACUCACUUAAAAGCUUGACUCAAUAACACCAAAUCACUGACAAUAGGAGAACAAUCCUCUUCACAACUAAGCAAUAUCUUUGCAUCAGAAUGUUGGCAGCAUACAUCAACUAGCUUUCAUUUAAAUCAUGCAAUUUUAUAGAACAUCAUAGUAAAAAAGAACAAACAACUUCAUAACCACUGAAUUCAUAAUAAAGCAUAAACUAAAACAUUGACACGCUCAAACUUUGUUACUACAGCUCUAGCCUGCUAUCAAAAUUGUUAUCCAAUUGGAAGUUUUAUAAGUAAAAUAAUACCAUGGUUUAAGGGAGAAACAAACACUAAGAAACAGAAUCACUUAGGUUAAUGUUUCGAUGAAUCUAUGCAGUCGGCUCAUACACAAACUUAACAAAUGGAAAGCUGUCCAAAACUAAAUUGUGGAGACAAUAAUGUCCUUAUGGAUCAAGUUAGAGACUCAGCCGAACUAGCUACUGAAGAUAAAUCUAAUGACAUACUCAGGAAGGGCCUGCCAUUAGACAACAAUAGCUAUGAACAGCUUGAAAGAACAUAAUAAAAACCAAUCAAUUUGUUCACAUUUCAGAUUCAAACUUCAGAAUAUAUUUAGAUGGUGUCCAUGGGAUCGACAAAUACCUGAAACGAAAAGAAAAAGGACGGCAGGGUCAACAGUAAUCAACAAUAGUAACCAGUAGCAGAAUAUUUCCCUAGAAUCAGCUUUGAACCAAGAAUAGUGUGCAGCAAAAAAAAUCUACCAAAAACAUCAAGACAAGCCUUUUAAAUCUCCAAACUCAGACCAUUUCAGCUCCACUUAGGUCAUAGAUCACUCCAGGUAUUGAAACUCAAGAAAUUGCAGAAAUAAUUAUGAAAUAGUGAAUCUCACUAAAAGAAUUUCUAGCUGCCUGUAUUUUCUGGGGUUUUUAUCUCUUCAACCUUGCCUUGAAAGGAAAGAAUGAGAUGCUUUUAUAGGCAAGACAAUAGGGAAACUAUCAGAUUUUAUUUUUUCAAUUCUACCCCUUUUUAAUUUUGUUUUUGGUACUUAAUCCCUCAAAUUUUGACUUAUUUGCCUAGCAAAGCUCUGUUUCAGCUUCUAGGAAGCUUCCCAGGUAGUUAUUUUAGAGAUUUCCUCACCUAAUUACCUAAAUUACCCCCCAAUCCCCAUAUUUUUACUUUAGUCAACUAGAUGACCUUUAGUUCAUGGGUCAAGUUGACCCCAAAAUUCAGCCCCUGACCGGACCAGCUUCUCUUUUCUUUGGGCUUUCAAUUUUAAUAGGAACCCAACCCAAUUCAGUUUUUCAUAAUAAAACCAACCCACAAUUCAAAUAGGCAUGAAUUAUGAACCAAAC
Molecule: long non-coding RNA, 2635 nt
Filed under: Nicotiana benthamiana
Lineage: Eukaryota; Viridiplantae; Streptophyta; Magnoliopsida; Solanales; Solanaceae
Description: long non-coding RNA (NBEN_LNC006435)
Source: RNAcentral